Molecule: long non-coding RNA, 1886 nt
Filed under: Gossypium barbadense (sea-island cotton)
Lineage: Eukaryota; Viridiplantae; Streptophyta; Magnoliopsida; Malvales; Malvaceae
Description: long non-coding RNA (GBAR_LNC007866)
Rfam family: MIR7502 microRNA precursor family (bases 39-177)
Source: RNAcentral
CCCCUAUACAAUAGAUCAAAGAGCAAAUGAGUCCUUUUUGUUAAAUCUCAUCCAUUUCCACAAUUAAAAACCAGCAUGGUUGGUAGAAUAACCAGACCAUUAUAUGUGGCGUGUCAUGAAUACCUCAUUUUGGCAUACGGUGACCAGUUUUUAAUGGUAGAGAUGGACCUUUUAGCAGGGGAUCAAUGUGCUUUUUGAUUAACGUACAGGGACUAAUUUGUUCAUUUUUUGAAUAGAGGGAGCAAAAUGCAAUUUGACUCCUAGUACAAGAACCUCCAUGGUAUUCUUACCUUACCAUUGUUGCUUUAUGAAUGAAAUAUUUCCAAGGCAACCAAGAUAACAUGCUACAAUAUAUGAAUUAAGAAUGUUUUUGGGCUUUUUUUCCCAGUAAACUCAUUGUUUUUUUUCUUUUGAUAAAUGAUGUUUGUAGUUAUCCAAAGAAGUCGGCAGAUAAAUUGACAUAUUAUAAGGUUUUUGGCUUGCUUCAUUGCAUCAUAGGGUUUCUGUUGGAAAAUGUGGCUUUUAGAUGUGUCCUUUUCGAACACUAUGAGGCACUUUUUUUGAAUAUUUUAUAGUCUAAUUCCAAGCUGAGAUGAUCUAGAAAUUUGUCAAUUUCUCUUUCUCGAUUCUCGCUCUUAGGUGCUUUGCGUUUUUUUGGUAUAUUUUGUCAGCAUAUGGAAGUAUUUGCAGUUAGUUUUAAUUGUAAAUUGAAGUUACUCGAUUCAACUAAAAGCUUAGGUCGAGCUAAGUUCUGCCAUCUAGCUCUUGGUUUACCUUGCAUUUGACACAUGAGGAAAACCGUAAAAUGCAGCAGCCAGCGUUUUAGUAAAGCACACAAAUUGUCUCUGAUUGAAUGGCAUUAACCAUUCCUAUAUACUACAAGAUAUCUCUGCUCUUUUUUUUCAGUCACUAAAAUUCCAUGUGUAAAUAUACGAAUUUAAUUUUGGCAGAGAAGGAGAAUGGUCCAAGGACAAUGAAAGAUGUCAAGCUAAUUAGUGCAGGAAAAAUACUGGAGAAUAACAAAACAUUGGGAGAAUGCCAGAGCCCUCUUUGCAGUAUUCCUGGUGGGGUGACGACUAUGCAUGUCAUUGUUCAACCUCCUCUGGAGAAAGGUAGGAUUUCGAAAAUGAUAAUAUGAAAAUUUUCAUAACAAGCGGUAACGAUUUCAUCGUUUUAAGGUUAUAUAUAUAUAUAAGUGGAAAUCCUUUUCCAUAACAAGCAAUAAACAUCUAUUUCCUUUUGUCAUUUUGUGAUAAUGCUCUUUAGGUUAAAAAGGGAAAACCUGUUUGUUCAGAAAUUGUUCAAAUUUGCUGUUUGAGGGUAUAAGUACCAUGGAGGUCCUUGUACUAGGAGUCGGAGUGCAUUUUGUCCCUUUUAUGUAAAAAAUGAACAAAUUAGUCUCUAUAUCAAAGAGCAAACUGGUCCUUUUGUUAAAAGUUUCACGCAUUUCAAAUGUUAAAAAUUGGUUCAUGUACAUCAAAAUGAGGUACAUGUGAUCAUUUUGUAUAACUAUCAGGUUAUUUUGGUAGCCACACCAGCUUUUACCGGUAGAGAUUGAUGAAAUUUUUCACAGAAAGGGCUAGUUUGAUCUUUGAUCUAACAUAUAGGAACAAAAUUACCCAUUUUUUGAAUAAAGGGGCAAAAUGUAAUCUGACUCCUAGUAUAAGGGCAAUCAUGGUACUUUUCCCGCUGGUAGAGCUUUUCUGCUUUUUAGGUCAAAUUGAAAACUUGGUUUGCUUGGCCAUUUCUUGUUUAUAGUAUUAGGUUCUGGGCUGAAACCAACCAUGCAUUCAUGCUACCUUCUCGUGUUGUCCUUUUCUGAACUUGGAACUUUUUUGAUGGUGCUUUUUGUGUGUGUUCCUUUAAAUUAACUUUUGUUAUCUUUC